AGUCGAGCGAGCGGAACUAAAGAUUUACUUCGGUAAUGACGUUAGGAAAGCGAGCGGCGGAUGGGUGAGUAACACGUGGGGAAUCUGCCCCAUAGUCUGGGAUACCACUUGGAAACAGGUGCUAAUACCGGAUAAGAAAGCAGAUCGCAUGAUCAGCUUUUAAAAGGCGGCGUAAGCUGUCGCUAUGGGAUGGCCCCGCGGUGCAUUAGCUAGUUGGUAAGGUAAAGGCUUACCAAGGCGAUGAUGCAUAGCCGAGUUGAGAGACUGAUCGGCCACAUUGGGACUGAGACACGGCCCAAACUCCUACGGGAGGCAGCAGUAGGGAAUCUUCCACAGUGGACGCAAGUCUGAUGGAGCAACGCCGCGUGAGUGAAGAAGGUUUUCGGAUCGUAAAGCUCUGUUGUUGGUGAAGAAGGAUAGAGGUAGUAACUGGCCUUUAUUUGACGGUAAUCAACCAGAAAGUCACGGCUAACUACGUGCCAGCAGCCGCGGUAAUACGUAGGUGGCAAGCGUUGUCCGGAUUUAUUGGGCGUAAAGCGAGCGCAGGCGGAAGAAUAAGUCUGAUGUGAAAGCCCUCGGCUUAACCGAGGAACUGCAUCGGAAACUGUUUUUCUUGAGUGCAGAAGAGGAGAGUGGAACUCCAUGUGUAGCGGUGGAAUGCGUAGAUAUAUGGAAGAACACCAGUGGCGAAGGCGGCUCUCUGGUCUGCAACUGACGCUGAGGCUCGAAAGCAUGGGUAGCGAACAGGAUUAGAUACCCUGGUAGUCCAUGCCGUANACGAUGAGUGCUAAGUGUUGGGAGGUUUCCGCCUCUCAGUGCUGCAGCUAACGCAUUAAGCA
RNAcentral lists this ribosomal RNA (839 nucleotides) under uncultured bacterium. RNAcentral's name for it is "bacterial SSU rRNA". It matches the Rfam family "Bacterial small subunit ribosomal RNA", at positions 60 to 866 of the family's 1533-position model. The record is from RNAcentral.